RNAcentral lists this long non-coding RNA (18167 nucleotides) under Capsella rubella. Its description in RNAcentral is "long non-coding RNA (CRUB_LNC001262)". Lineage: Eukaryota; Viridiplantae; Streptophyta; Magnoliopsida; Brassicales; Brassicaceae. The record is from RNAcentral.
AUUAAUUUAUUAUUACUUUUACGUUUAAUUAGGAUAAGAUUUUGUAGAAAAACAAAGUCACCGUAUAAGUAAAUUAUAUAAACAUAAAAAUAGAAUAAAAUCAGUUCGUUUUUUUUACUUUUUAGUAAGGGAAUCUCACAUUUUUUUUUUUUUUUUUUCGUCCAAAAGUUUUAUUACUUAAGCCCAGUGGACAUGCAAAUACAGAAGAGUUAAACUAGAGGAUUACAGACGAGAUUUAAAAGGCCCAAACUAAACCAUAUUACAAAAUACAAAAGAUAAUAAAACUUUGAUGGUUUAGCAUAAGACACGUGGAGAUGAAGCACCUCCUCUAAGCCACGCAUCAAAUUGAAGCAGUUCCACGUCUCCACCGUCUGUUCUUCUCAAGCAUCACCGGCAUUCGAUUAGCCACCACCAAAUAACCCGAAGAUGAUGAGAAUCCUCUUAUCUUCUGCCGAUCUCAAAUCCAAUCAAAGGAUACGUCGAAGUCUACCGGAUCAAGUAUAUUAAACUUCUUCAAAUUUUCUUCGAGUAUCAUCAACUCCGGGGAAGCUCCACCACCGAUUACAUCCAGAUUUUGAUGUAAUACUUUGCUUUGCUCUUAUGAAAUGAGCAAAAUAAAAGUGACGAAGAUAUUACUCCUCGAAUAGCUGAAGAAACAAAGAAAAUUUGGAAGUGAUUAUCGGAGAAAUCAACGGGAAAAUAACAUAACUGGAUGAGAGAUCUUAUCUCGGUAAAACGAGAAAUAAAACCGGACUUAGCCGGUACAAAGAUCCGGAUCUUAGCCGGAAAUUAUAUUAUAUGACAAAAUUCCGGUGUACUGGAAAUCUCUUUCUCUCUCUGAAAAAUAGAGGUGUGAUAAGAGAGAGAAUGAACUAUUUCAAAUGAGCAGAGUCCAAGGGAAUCUCACAUUUACAUGUAUGGUUUAUCAUCAAUUAAUUUACAUAUAAAUAUUACCUGAAGAUUUUAUUCUCAAAGUUACCAACUUAUUACUUACUAGUUACCACACUGAAAUGUAUCUGUUUACUAGUCACCACAAGUGUAUCUGCUUUGCAUUUUUAUCAAAUCAAGUUUUAUGGAUCUAAUCUCAAUCACAGUGCUGCAAGAUCUUUUUUACCAAAGCAAACAUCUAAAACUGUAAAAAAAUAACAAAAAUCAGACCUGCAUGGCUGCAUACAGCUUUGUUCUAAAGCAAGAUAUCAUCAGGUCAGGUCUAAAUCAAAAUCAUAUGUUCGUAUAUAGAUUGGUGAUAAAUAAUUUAUUACGAAUGACUUUGCCAUUUGAUCCAUAAUAGUUUAUAUUAGUCUGUUAAUGUUGUCAUCUCUUGAUAUAGAAUGUAUAUAAUUUGUUGACUAAAGAAAAAAAGGUCAAUGGUUACAGAAAAUUAAAGUAUCAAUCUUGUAAUGAAACGGUGGUCAUAGACUCAUGUUGGUGUAACUAUGUUUACAUCUUGGGUAUAUAUUAUAGAGUACCGAGUACCAACCCCAUCAUUCGACAAAUAAUAAUAAACCCGUCAAAGUAGUGAAACGGUGUAUCAGAAUAUGAAUCUUUUGUAUCAGAAUAUGAAUCUUUUCAAACAGACAAACAGUAUAUGUUUAUAGAAUGAUAGACAAAAUUAGACACCAAUUACUGUGUAUAUAUGUAACCAAAUGAUUUUUAUUUUUGUUCCAUACAUUCCAAGAAUGAACCGAGCAAAUAGACGAGAGAACAUCGAGUAAAGUAGCACAUGAGAAUAGUCAUAUACAAAACAUUUGGUAGGUUUGUGAUUUCUCAAAUCAUACGAGGUCCAUAAAUGGGUAAUAAUUAUAUCUCUUAAUUACAAAGCGAAUACUAGAAACAAAAUCAUCAUCUCUCAAAACUCAAAAGCAUAAUAAAUAAAUAAUAAUACAUAUAUUUGAAGCCGGUCGUGUCAAGCGUUGGCCACUUGCCAUAUGUGGAGCCCAAUUUAAUUCCUUUUGAAUAUCCAGCAAACCCCUUUUGGUUCAAUUGAUCUCGGUUAAUUUCGGUUUACCAACCACCAUUAAAAGACGAGCGAAAAGAGUACUAGAAUUUUGGCCAAGGUAUAUUUCUCUGAACAGGAGUGACCGAGUGACUAGUGAGUGAGUGUAAAAGCAUAUAUUUCCCUGAAGAAGCCGAUCUCUAUAGUCUCGUUAUGAUACAAAAAGGAAAAAAAACAAUCGGCUUGUGUUUAGGAAGGGGGGGCUUACAAAUCUACAAAAGUGGAAGUAAUAUGAACACAAAUCUGAAAAUAGACCAUAGCUUUGCUGUUUUAUAUCUUUGGUUUGAGGAUGAGCUACUUUUGGAGAUGGUUUCGUUUGUUUGGUGUUGUUCUGAGGAAUUAUUAUGAGUCUUUAUUCCGGCUGCCAUUGCCGGAGCUACCGCCUCUGUUUUGUUUGUUCUGGCAACAGUUGUGGUUGUCUCUUCCAUGUCAUAGCCUGGCGUUAAUAGAGAUAUCCAUAGUUCAUAUAAUGAUAUAUAAGUCACAACACAAAGGAGUUAAAAAAUGUAAGAAGAAACUUACAGUCAAACUUUUUCCAAGCCAAUACGAGUUUCUCUCUGUCGAAUACUACACGAUACCCGGUCAUGUAGUUUUCUGUUUCAUAAAAAGCAAAACAAUGUGAGGUCACCAUUUACCGGAUGUUCAAUGAUCGAUUAUAGGAGAGACUGAUCUUACGUCCAAUUAUGUUGAGUUCAGAGCUUUUGACAAUGGCCAGGCAAUAUACAAGUUCACCCUGUGAAAGAUACAUAGAGAUACUGAAAGUAUCAGCACACAGAUAAAAAUUUGGUUGAAGAAGACGAGAAACGAUAGGGAAAGAAGUAAAGCAAGAGAGUAUAACCUCGGUAGAGAUCACUAUGAUAGGAUCAUUGAUGGUGAAGUGACUGUUUCCUUUCAUUGUUAAGCUUAAACUCGGUAUCAAACUGGCAUUCGCCUCAUUGCUAAUCACACCAUUUACAAGAAGAUCACUUAGAUUUGAGUGGCAAGUAAACACUUGAAUGUAGAUGGAUAAAAACUCAUACCUCAUAUCAUAACAAUACUCGAAUGGAAUCCUUGAAUCUGGUGAAUGGCGCUUAUCUUGGGCUUGAGAAUGAAACUGAAGAAGAUAAUGUAAUUAUCGAGCUAACAAAAUUGAGCAUCUCGGGGAACAAACACAACAUAUGAUGGUGUUUAGAUGCUUACACUCUCAGAAACUGUCGUAUACAUCGGAUCCACUAAAUAAGUAAAUGAUGUACCGGUGUCAAAGAGCGCUGUAAACUCAUCAUCUAUUAGAGUAGUCCCCACACGCACCCGAGUCACCGUGAUGUUGUAGUUUGGGCUGCAAUGAAUUUCACUACGAUCAAAAGGUGCAUUCAAAAAGCAACAAAAAUCUACAAUUUAGCGCAUAAGUAAAUUACCACUUACUGUGAGGGAUUCAGAUUAAACGGUGUCUCUUCCUGAUCAGAACUACCCUUGUCCCCAAAACUGAUCCUUCCAACUCCAUCAUGUCCGAAACACAUGGAGAAAGAAUCAGCAACCAGACCUUCCCUCGCCAAAACACUUGGAACCGAUAUCUUUUCCAUGCCAAGACCAAAUAAACCAUUUGGUGCUGCAAUGUCAAGAAAAGAACCACUUUGAACCUGCCCACAUCUGCAAAAAUUUCACAUUUUCAGGAACUUACUACAUUGAACUUUCACACAAGAGAACCUAGGGAAGCAGUUGUGAAGAGGCUGACUGCUACUAACCCGAAUGUAACAUAUGCCUCAACACGCUCUGGAUUCUUAUCCUCGGUUGUUAAGUGCAUAACAUCUUCCAUAAGUAUACCAGAUGUGGAAGUCUGAGCAGAGACAUAAGAUACCAUAUAAGGGCAAGUGCUGAAUGUUCCAAGGCAUUGAUUACGCUGUGCACAUAAACUGUUAUUGCAGGUGACCUUCUUGUUUGUAGUCGAAACUUUAGGAUUGUAAAUGCUCAGUUCAAAUUCCUAACACAGCAAACAGAAACCCAUAAUCAAGGAUUCGAUCAUGGAUAGCCUAAGAUCAGUAAACUCAAAAACUGUAGUUGCUAAGAGUGUCUAACAUACAGAAGCGUAAAUGGCUCCUUCGGUUGGUGCGCAUUUUCCGCAAUCACAAGGGACCCAAAAGAGAUCGCUUCCUGUAUCAAGCGCCACCAUGAAUCUCAUUCCCGGAGUACCCAAUUUCACCGUCGUGUAAUGCAAACUGGUAUCAAAUUGAAUCAGAAAAGUCACACUAAUCCUGAAGCAGAGAGGUUACUCUAGAACAAUCAAAGCAAAAUGCAACUUACAAUCCGAGAGAGCUGAUACGAGAAGUGGAAUUGCCGUCGGAAAAAGUGAGUGACGACUCGGAUCCGGAGUCGGAGAGUCGACGCCCACGGAUUAGCCAAUCACGGAGGACGAGAGCGUUGAAGUAUUCGAAGGUUCCCUUAGGGGGAAACUUAGCAGACCUUCCGGUUGAAUCGGACCAUUGUUUGACUUCGUCGGAGAAUCUAUGAUGCAUCUCGAAGGUGAAGAUACGACCAUUGCAGCUCCCGGAGCUCAGCAACAUCAAAAUCGGGAUCAAGAACAGAGUACUCUUGAAGAAACAGCACGACAUUGGAAAACGAUUUCGAAACUCGACAGAUUAUCCUACUUUCCCGGAGGUUUUUCUCGGGAAAACAAAGCAAAAACGAGAAAUCAUGACCAGGAACACAAGAUAUUAUUCGAAUAUCAAAAAAUGCGUGGGGGUUUAGAUCUUGGAUUAGCGAGAACAAAAUUAGGUUUUUUUUUUUUGGGAAGGAGAAAGAUGAAGCUUAGUGAGUUUGAAAGAGAGGAAGAGAAGAAGAGAUCUACGUUCGUCGUUGUUCUUCGUCGUUAGGUGAGAGUGUAACAGUCUUGUGUAUAAGUCCAUCCAUGUGUUGCAAAAGUGAACUGUUGUGACUCAUUUCAUGGGUCCAACCUAUUAAUUUUUUAAUAUUCUCCACCACCCCAUACUUUCUGGUUUUUCUGACUUCUCACCCCGAAUUUAAUUAAUUCUUUAUUAAAGGGAUCCAACUGAUGAAAUCGAUAAACGUAACCCGCGACACAAAAAAUGAUGCACAAAGUAUAUGGGAUAUACACACAAGGAAGGAUAUACAAAAAGAUUUGGUCAAGGAGGUAAAGUGGUAAGCUAAUAAGACUUAUAAGGUCGUAUAAUCAUCUGUUGUUGUAAGUGUCCCAAUCAAAAUUUGGGUGAGAAUAAGCUUCGUAAUCUACAGGUCCGUCGACGAUGCUAUCGACUGUCUGAAUACUCCGGAGAAGAGCUGGUUGGUACCGUUCUGUAUCCGAAGGCAGAAGCUUGUACAUCACGAGCACCCCUAGUGUGAAUAUGGCUUGAAGCUUUGUGGAAUCUCCUUUGACUGAAAAGAAGAGCAGCAUUGAGACGAGGUACAGGUCGACACAGAACCGCAUGAUGCACAAAACCGUGUCCAUUAGCUUCCCUUCAUUGCCUGCAGGGAAACCACGAACUCUGUACACGUAGAGGAAGUUGUAUUUGUCAACUAUGUAUCUGUAACCAAAGUAAACUGCGCCUACAGGGACCACGAGUGGAGCGAAUGAUGAGUAUAUCAUUGUUAAGGCAAAUAUGGUGAGAUUGAAGGCAUAGUAUUGGGCAAAGUCGAAUUUUUGUUUAGGGAUUGGUGAUGUCCGGCUGAUUGGGUAUUCAGAGAGGUCUUGGCUCAUCGGUUCGAUGUCGCCGAAUCUAGGAGACUCAAACAUGUUUUCAGGGAGAAGUGGUGUCUCAAGGUUGCUGCUUGGCUCUUGGUUUUCCAAAGCGUACUCUUCGUUUUUCUCGGGAACAAGCUGAAGCAUGUCGUUCUUCCUGAACUUCUGGAUUUUUUUCUUGAUCCAUGGGAUUGGAGCAAGUAGAUCGAACGAGAUUCCUAAGAACGUGCUUGUGAUGAGGAAAGCUAGAGCAGAAACGCAUGACCUCGAUAAGAAGGAAGGGCUCAUGUAUUCUUCAAUCCUCUUGCAAUCCUCGCCAUCUAAAUAGCAACGACUCAUUUUUAAGAGUGCACUUUCCAGCGACGAUUCGACAAGAGCCUUGAGAAUGAUGAGGUUCACAAGGAAGAAGCAAACCAUCUUCAAGAGAGCUGCUCUUUGUUCCCCAGAAACUGUUAAGUGCCGCUCAAACUUAGAAAGAUACGAGAGAGCAGAUGGGAUCACAAUGUACAUACUAACAAAUAUGAAGACGUUGGGCAGGAACUGAAAAAUAAGGGAUCCGAUCCAUCCAGAAGUUUGCACCCAAGUGAGCCAAGACUGAGCACUAUCCAAUGCUUCAGCAUUGAAGAUUCGGCCAGCACUUACCAAGGCACUGAUCAAGGCCAAUGGGGAGCUGAAAAACACAAGAAUCAACAGUAGAAUAGUAUUAACAAUCACUCUCCGCACAAUAAGAGCAACUUUUGUUAGUCCCAGAUGAUUCCAAUAGAUAUCAGUAGCCAAGGGUGCUCUAUCCACUUUCCACUGGUUUCUCUGUAACCGAAGCUCGGUGACAGAGAAGAAUUUUCCAGUACGCCUUGAUCUUUCGUUUCGAAAAUCCUGAACAGCCUUAUUAGCUGUGUACACAUCUUUAAACAUCACGAAAGCAACCCCAGCACCUUGUGCUCGUCCUUCUUUAUAAGCUGCUAACUGAGACUCUAGAUCAGCUCUUAACUCUUGCAGCUUCCUUAGUUUUUCAUCAUCUGUAAAACCAAACCUCUCUGUAAUCUGAGACCACAAACCCUUCAACUUAAUCCACAAAGCAAAAACACAAUACAGUAGUCCAUUAUCUCCAGCAUUCUCAAACUCCUCUGGUAGAAGCCUAGAGUCCAUCUUGGCAACUAACCAAGUAAUCUCAUCUCGAACACGAACCAACUCUGUAGCAAGAUCAUCCAAUGCACACAAAUCCAUGGGAACAAUAAUCUUAUAAACUUUCCCCGGGUACUUAAGCCUAAAGCACUCUUCAAACUCAACUCUAUCAGACCCUAAAUUCUUAGGCAAACCCUGCACCAUUACAGUAAACACAGCGGUGGAAUUCGCAUUGGGAUCGCUGAUAUUCCCAUUCCCAUCUCGAAACCUAGUAAACUUCAACCUAGCUUCAAUAGCAGAGAUACCGAAAUGCGAGAUAACAACAACAACCACAAGAAAAACAAAAUGCAGCCAAAGCAGACCGGAACCUUUCUUUAUAUGCGUAAUCAUCGUUUUCGAAAGCUCAUCACUCAGCAAAGCAGUCCCGGCAUAUAAAUUCAACGGAAGCAUAACCGAAACAGCCAAAACAGCAAUAGAGAAAAGGAGCACAAAGCUCCCACCUUCGAUCAAAAGGAACUGAGCAGCAUCAGCACCGCAGUGCCGAGCGAUCUCGCGACAUGUAGCUUUCCAAACGGCGAGGAGCUUAGAGAAGAGAGCAGAAGGACCAGGCAUACGACGGUGAUCGCUUCGGAGCUUAACGAAAAGAAAGAUGGAGAGGCAGCAUAAGAGGCCAAUGACGGAGAUAUUAAGCAGAUACUGAAUGUUACCGUACCAAGCAUCUGGGAUUUCAGGUAAGUCGCCGGAGGAAGGAGGAGGAGAGAAUGAAUCAUCCCUUGUCAUUGACGAAAUCGGCGGCAUCGCAGCGCUGCGAUGCAUCGCGACAAUUUCUACCAAAUUAAGAAGCUCAAAAUCUUCAAUUUACUUUUUCUCUUCAGAGAUUCAGGAAUUUAAAUCACGAGAGAAAUUGGGGGCUAGGGUUGGCUGGCUGGGCUAGUAGAUCGAAGAAGAUGAUUGGUAAUGGUAAUGGUAGAAACUAGAAAGUAAAUAAAAAAAAACUGGAAGGUUUGCGAUCGCGGUUUGGAAUCUAAUCUCCUAGAUUCUUCCUCCCAUUUAUAAACCCAGAUGAAAAGUUCCAUAAAUAACCGGGACAUCUUUUUGGUUUUUGUUUUGUUUUUUCUUGCAUGGAUAAAUAAUGUUUGACACAGAAAUAAUAUAUUAAAAAGAUUAAGAUAUGAUACGGAUUUGUAAAAAUAUUAAUUUUUACAUAUAAUCGUUACUAAUGUAUAAUUUUUUUGUUCUUCUGAUAAAAUAAAAAAAUGUAAAAUCGAUUAUGCUAAUUAAUUUAAAAAGUUUAAUAAAUAUUAAGAAAAUAAAAACAUAUUUCUCUAUAUAUUUGGCGCUUGUGAGACUUCAUUUUACUAUUAGUAGUAUCACAGAAUAUAACCGAAUUCAUCAUUCGCGUGCCAAAAAUACGUACAUAUAUUCUUACAAUUGAUAUUAGGAAAGUCAGUCAGUGGAGUUACUUGGUGGAGAAUAAUUAAUUAGGGUAAUCCUCUCAGUUUUGUAUUUUAUGGAGGAGAAGAUCUUCGUCGGCUCUUAGCAAAACGCACCCAUGUCUCGGUUUCUCAGCCGUCUCUCUCUCAUGAUAAUAUUAGUGUGUAGUAUGAAAUUUAUGUAAGUUCAUAAUUCAGUUUCUAAUUGAUGAGUAAACUAACUUUUUUACUUGUUCUGUUAAUCAAUUCAAAGUCACAACAAAAUUUAUAGACAAGUGACCUUGUCUGAAGGCUCUUAAUGGUGUGUUCCGCAAAUGAGAAUGAUUCCUUUACCUCCAAGCUAGGCUGCAAAAUCCAACACGCUUGGGUAUUCGCAUUUGCCAUUGUAGGCUAUUGCAGUAAGAGAUAUGAGACAGAGAGCAUAUUGAUAUUAGUAGCUUCUAUCUCUAUAUGGAGUUCAGAGAUGAUACCAAGGAUGCUUUUGCUUUAAUCACUUCCCCCAUAGAAACUAGAUGCAGUUUUCUAUUUCGACACUCGUUUAAUUUUCAAAAAAGUUAUUUUUACAAUCCAACUUGAUGAGAUAACCCUUACAGUCGUUAACGAAAAAAGGAAAAUAAACACCUUUCCUCGUAAAGUAUUAUUGUACUUAAUAGGACUUUAAUAUUUCCAUUUUAAUCAAACCCUGUAUUUUGAAGCACGUUCGAGAGAUUUACAUUUUUUUAUAAUCUCUAUUCUCUUCUAAUGUUUUUUUCUGCUUCAACUUUUUUUCCUUCUUUUUUUUUUGGAUGUGGUUUGAUACACUACGAAUAAAGAAUUUGAUUACUGUUUUCAAAUUUCUCUGUUAUUUUUUUACACUCACAUUUAUUGGAAAAAUAAUAAUAAAUAAUUAACACUUUAAUAAAUUAAUUUUUUCAGCUUAAAACUUAUAGAAAUAAAUAAAAUUAUUCCAUACUUUUUUGAUCAGGUCCUUUUAUUUUGUUUAGUAAUUUAAAACCUAAAUAAGUAAUAUAUAAAAAAAAAAAAAAAAAAGGUUAGAAAGAUGAUGAGAAGGAGAUAGCUUCUUCAUCGAGAAACCUCGGAAAUAUAAAAUCAAAAGCGCGUCGGUGACUUGUACUCUCAAUCUCUUCUUCCUCUCUUUCAAUCUUCCACAUCUCCUCCUCUUCUCUUCUCUAUUCUCAAAUUAUCGAACCCGCCUUGCUCAAAUUCAUCAAUCAUGUCGUACGAUUACCUCUUCAAGUACAUAAUCAUCGGAGACACAGGUGAGACCCACCAAUCAUUAUCGCUCUUCGAUUCCUGAUUUUUAUCUUCUGGAUGAGAUCGAUUUUUCCCCCUAAUUUUAUGGAUUUUUGUUUGUCUUGUCGUUUCAGGUGUUGGGAAAUCGUGCCUGCUUCUUCAAUUCACUGACAAGAGGUUCCAACCAGUCCACGAUCUCACCAUUGGUGUCGAGUUCGGUGCUCGGAUGGUCACCGUUGAUGGACGCCCCAUCAAACUUCAAAUUUGGGACACCGUACGGUUCCUUUUUUCCUUCCUUUGGUCCUAAGAAGUAAUCACGUUUAUCGAUUAGGAUUGUUUUUUUUUUUUUUUUGGCCUAAGGAAGAUGUGAUUAAUAAGAUUAAUUGUCAUAGUCAAUACAGUUUAUCCGUAUUUAUAGAAACAAUGCCUUAUUAGAAUUGCUAAACCUGAAACUAUAUUUGAAAAUCAUGGCCUAAGACUCAAAGUAGGGUUCAUUGAAAUAGAAAGCUCUGAGUUCACCAGUGCAUUUGUGACUUUGCUGAGUCCUUUUUGUACUUUAUUCUGGUCAAUAGUUUUUUUUUCUUUGAGUUAUAUAGGUGCGAAUAUGACAUGUAAAUCUUUGAUUCUUUUCCAUUGGAUGAUGUAUGGGUUUGAGCUGUUUUAUGUUUGUUUUUUUUGUGUCUUCUGGUUUGAGUUUGCUAUGAUACUGUUUAUGAUUCAAUCAGUCGUAUGAUGUUCUAGGCUGGACAAGAGUCUUUUAGAUCCAUCACCAGAUCAUAUUACAGAGGAGCAGCUGGAGCUUUACUGGUUUAUGACAUCACCAGGUUAGUAUUUUCCUGCAACAGUAUAUAUCAGCUUUACUGGUUUAUGACAUCAACAGGUUAGGUCUUGGAAGUUAUUGGUUCUGUUUUUUUUGAACUGGUAAAAGUUAGACCAAUUGGAAAGGUUUUUCGAAUUUAUUACUUCUGUAUCUGUCAACUGGUCAAAUUAGAACAGUCGGAAAGGGUCUGGAAAUUGGUAUUUCCCGUUAAUUUUUACAAUAAAUACAGGUUGGGAAGUUGAUAAAGCUUUGGCUACAAUAUUGACAAUUCUCUUGUGGGAGGAUGUUAAGUUAACUACACAUCUUAGAAUUUUGCUAAAAUGAUAAAUUUACUCCAUUUUUAAAAAACUUUUUGAGAAGAAUGAACGACAGGAAGGAUUGUAAGAGUUUUCUCGUUACGCUUUUCCUGUGUUGAUCUUCCUGCCCCUAAAGCUCAAAUUUGGUUCUUUUGGUUGCAGGAGAGAGACAUUUAACCAUCUGGCAAGCUGGUUGGAGGAUGCUCGACAACACGCAAAUCCUAACAUGAGUAUUAUGCUAAUUGGGAACAAAUGCGAUCUUGCUCACAAAAGAGCUGUUAGCAAAGAGGAAGGAGAACAGUUUGCCAAGGAACAUGGUCUGCUAUUCUUAGAAGCAUCUGCAAGAACAGCUCAAAACGUUGAGGAGGUGACACUGAUUCUUUGCUACUCCUUUUUCCCAUCCUGUUAUUUGGCCGUAAUCACGCGGUGAGAGUUUUGUCUUCUUUUAUUGGAUUAAUAUCACUUAAUAUCGCAUAAAUUCCAACAGGCAUUCAUAAAGACCGCUGCCAAGAUCCUCCAGAACAUUCAGGAUGGUGUUUUUGAUGUUUCCAACGAGGUAAUGCCCUUCACGAAUUCUCUGGUGUUCUAAACCCUUGAUUGUGUUACAGUGUAAUCCAAUACCCUUGAUGUCUCUUAAUUUUGCAGUCAUCGGGCAUUAAGGUUGGCUACGGGCGUACUCAAGGUGCAGCAGGAGGCAGAGAUGGUGCAAUUUCUCAGGGAGGUGGCUGUUGUGGUUAAAAAUUCCUUAAGUCACAUAUCUGCUGUAAUCUGGUGAUUCAGAAACUACUAUUGCUUUUAUUUACCUCUGCAAAUUUAUGAUACACCAGAAUGUAUAGUUGCUUUUUUUUUUUUUAAAUCUCUUUUACAAAUUGUCUUUGUCAAAAAACUAAACUGGUGCAUUUGAGAGUGAACAGCCUGAUCUUUAUAAACAAAACAGGCGUUGGCUUAUUUGGAACAUUGUUGUUUUUGUAUGAAGAAGAGUCGAAGCUCUGAAGGUUAAGCAAUCGAAAUAAAUGAAAUCAGAAUAGCAUCCAGUCCUCAUCUAGUUGAAGUCUCCUUAUUCAUCUAAAGGAACUGGUUUGAAAAAUAUACCAAGAUGGCUUACAGAGAUCCUAAUAAGCAAAUGGCAACAAAAAAAAACGAAGAAGCCAUGAUACCGUCUUCUCUCCUCUUAGUCCCUUUGGUUUAACGCCGAUUAGGUAAUGUCCCUUCCUUAAGUCGCAAGGUAUUGUAUGUACGCGUCACUAACAUGAGUCUCGGAUCAUCUUCUGGUAUUUCACGUUCCUGUGAUUCCCAUAACACAAUAACCAACAACCCAUCAUUAAUUAGUACGACGAAGGAACUCAGUUUAUAAGAUUUGGGAGAAAGGAAUUUUUUUUUACUUUCAAUCCCUUGUAGUAAGCCUCAACGGCAGCUAGUGUAGGUGGAAUCCUUCGAGCUUGCAUGAGAUCCCAGAUCAUAUUUGCAACUGUGUACCCGCCCGUCUGCCAUAAAAGAAAAUAAGUUUUUUCAACUUUCAGUAAGCCAACUCUUUAUAACAGCAAAAAUAUUUUCAUUUGGGGACUUUUAAGUUUAUUACCUUUUCGCCAGCGGCUUUAAGUAGCAGACUGCUUCCAGUUCUUGGGUCCAAGAAGAAAUUGCGUUCGUUCAUUUGGACCUGCAUUAACAAACAAAUUAUCAUCAAGUAAAGGCUCUACCACUGGCCCUUCGAUUUAUUUCAUAGAUUUUUUUUUCAGUACAGCUCGAGCCUUUAAGCAUUACCAGAGUGUCUUGAGCUAUCUUCAUUCCAUUCUCGGUGUAUCCUGUCAUAGCCCCCUCUAUAAGCGUCUGUAGAGGCAAAAAGAAAUAAAUUGACAUCUUCAGCAUAUACAGGUAGCAUAUAGAUCUGUUGAACCAAGUAUCGAAAACAGCAUAUCGAAGCAUAAUUCUCUUCGCCUACUGGAUCCAUUGAGAAUUUAGAUUCAUCUCUAUAUUCAUUUGCAGGAUUUUAGGAUUGAGAAUUAACAACAUAUGUUAUACAGAAGUUCUGAUGCCCGCACUUAAUAUAGAAAAGAAGAUGUUCACGCUUAAAACGAAUAUUGAAAUACUAAUAAUGAGGUCAGAUGAUCGUUACCGUAUAGAGUUCCAUAGCAGGGAUUCUGUCUGCGCUCAUGUAAUCUUUAAACACUUUGAGACCAUUCUCAAAGUCUUGCGAGUGUAGAUAGCACCUAUGUAGAUACAAAGUAAGAUGCUUAUAUGAUAAGCAUAUUUUGAUUUUACUACUAACAAAAGUUUGGUACCUAAAUACUGUCUUCUAACCAAUGAUAAUGCCAAAUGUUUUAACAUCUAAAUGCAUAUUUCAUAAUCUCAUUUAUGUAUACAAGGCCAAUUCAUUUUUGUGGACAAAGACACUGGCACAGGAAACUGUUGUUUAAUAUUGCCAAUAGAAGAAUCACAAUGCAUGAUCUGUUGUACCUCAUAACUUGUAGCACACAAUAAGUAUCAGUGUCUUUUCCAUCUUUCUUAAGCAUCUCAAGAAGUGCUUCCAUUCCCUGCCAUGGGAAAUAGCUGGUCAGAUGCAAAAAUCAACUCCAACUCUAGCUUUUGUUACUCCCAGAGCAGAAAAGUUAUUUUAAAUUCAGGACAUUUUGGAAUUUAGAAGACAAUAUCGCUUACUUUUACAUCCUUUAGAUCAGCAAGAGCACUAAAUGCUACGUGGUACACGGUCAAAUUUCUCUGCAGAAACCUAGUCCUGUGAGCAUAUUCAGCAGUUGGAAUAUUGUACAGCUCCUCUUCACUGAUGCUAAACAUCACAUCUUCUGCACUCUUCCUUGAUGAAUCAAUUGCUGACCAGCCUUUUGAUUGCUCCACGAACUCGAGAAUCUUUUGAGAAAAAAGGAGGAUACGAGAAAAUCUACAUUAAUAAAGAAUUGAAAGGAAGUACAAACAGAAAACCUUCACAGGUUACCUUGGUAGAAAGAUUAUCUGGUUUAGGCUGCUUGUUUAAGUGUGCAGUUAUGAGUCCUGCAUAGCAGAACUGGUUCAAGCCAACACCAGCAGCAGUCAUAUCUCGAACUAUCGCAUACCUAACCAUUAUUUGAUGUCAGAUAUGAAUUAGAUUAGAUCACUUCUUAGAUUGCGCUUAAGAGACAACCAAAUACUUACUUAUAAUAGAGAAAAGAUGCAUAAAACUUAUCAAGUAAAUCAUUAUGCUAAGUUAGCAGGACAAUAGAAGCAGUAACCUACACAAGAUCUAAUUGGCCAGAAACAGCGCAGGCAUUGAGCAAGCAGACAAAGGUCUGUCCAUUUGGUUUUACGUCAUAUCUCUUCAUCUCGUCGUAGACCUUACAAUAAGAGAUAAACCAGAAGGCUCGUAUGUGAAUGAAUAUUAAAGAAUGUAGAAGAAAAAAACUCAUGUACUAAAGCAGGUAAGAUAACAUACUCGGAUAGCCUCCUUUCCAUUCUUGCAUUUCCCACAUGUGGAAAUCAAAAAGUUGUACAGAUUUACCUAUAAAAUGAACACACUGUCAACAACACAAGCAACGGAUGAACUGACUCAUUCAGUAACGUCUAGAAUUAUUGGACAAGGAAUCACUCAAUCUACUGCAAGACUCUCAAAAACUAAGACCAUACUAACCAGAGAAAGUUAUACAAGUUUUCUAUAUAAGAGCCAAAACAAAAGAAAGAUGAGACGACAUACAUCUGGAGCAAUUCCCAUGGCCUUCAUUUCUUCACGGAAAAAGAAAGCAUCACUCAAGCGAGCACCCUUCAUCGUUCCCACAACAAAUGAAUGGAAUAUAUCAGCUGUAGGCUGCACACCAUCUAGCUUCAUAUCAUCAUAAACAUCCCUCAGCAAAUAGUGCCUACCAAAAAGAGAAAGAUUAUCAAGAACUUAUAGUGACGGAGCCAAGCAUAUAUGAUUAUGGAAUCAAAAUGUUCUCAAUCUCAUCACAUUAUGAACACAGUAAGCUAUACAAAUCAAAGGUUGCGAGAAGCUAAGAACAGCACAAACCUGCGCUGAGCAGUAACGGAAUUUACAGCUGUGUUGUAUUCCGACAGAUCAUUGGCGUAAUUUCUCUUCGCGAGCUCCUCCGGCGAUGAAGCGAAGUAGCGCCGACUAACUAGAGCUCGAACCAGAGAUCGAUUCCUCCCUGUUUCCGUCGAUCAAAACACAAAACGUAAGAAACGAAGAAUGCGCACGAAUAAAGAUGGUUUAGUGAAAGAUGAAAAUUGGAUCUAUCUCAUCAGUGAUGUCCAAUAAAUCCAAAGCAUACCAGAAAUGGAUUGAAUGAGGAACUUCAUAGCUCACUUGAAAUCCUAACUCCGGCAAACAAUUUUUUCCGGGAAAGGAGAAGAAAGCAAAUACAAGAUUUUUCCGGUGAGUCUCAGAGAGUGAGAGGAAGGCUGAAUAAUCGAGUUCAGCCGUCGGAAGAGGGGGAUAUAGAAAGCUCAGGCAUCAGGGUUUAGGGAGAGAACGUAAACCGGAUAAUAAACAGAUCUAACCGGAUGUUAACCGGUUUGACUAAAAUGGAUCGCGCUUACGAAAAAGCCUUCAUCCAGUUAGUAUAAAAAUUACAUGGGCCAUUGAUAUAAUAUUGGGCUUGAUUUUAGGACCAGUUGGUGAUGAUCACGUGGCUGUCGCGUGAUCAAGUCAAACGCAAUGGUUCUGCGCCACGUGUAUCCGUAGAGCGAAACGAUGAGGAGAUAUUUACAGUUGGGAUGUCCCAACUACUACAAAUACUUUGAAAUCUGUCGGAAGGAUCACGUGAAGACAACUACUAUAUGUUCUUGCGUUAAGUGAGAACUAUUUGACCAAAAGUGAACACAUUUAUUUUUAUUAAUCAAACUCGUGAAUUUUCCAUGAAAAAAAGAAUUUCAAAAAACACUUUUCAAUCUACUACUAUCUAUACUUAUAGAAUUUUGUAGUUAUUAGUAAGAGAUAGACAGAUAGUACCAGUUUAAGUUUACUCUCUGUGAUUAACAAGCAGUGGUUCAUAUUUUUAUAAGUUAAUUGAUUACAGAUACUAUAAAGUUCGUUCCGGAUACAACGUUAAACACUAUUUAUCAAAACUUUAAAUAUACAAGCUACUUACUGUGGGUCUUUAAAUAAAUGUUUGCAAGCUUCUAUAAAGUUUCAUGAUUAAUGCUCUAAUUUAAAAUUCAAGGAAGAGAACACUUAAAACACAUUUUUAUAUAGAGAAUUAAGGUUUUCGGCGGGUGGAGUUGGAAGUGGAUUCGGAGUUGGUGGUGGGUUUUUUACGGAAAAGGAUUAGCGAUGCUCAUCCGCUUUCUUUCCUGGUGCGUUUAUGCCAUGGCUUCUUCUCGAGGGACUGGAUAGUCCGUAUUUCUCAUGUGUAUAGGGAAGCUAACCGUCUUGCGGAUGGGUUAGCUAACUAUGCGUUCUUGUUACCGCUAGGGCUUCACUUAUUUGAUUCUUGUCCGAGUGAAGUUGUUUCUUUUUUGUUGGACGAUGCUAACGGGACUGAGUUUCCCCGGUGUAUUCGUGUGUAAUGUUACAUUUUAUUUUUAGUUAGUUAAGCAUGGAGACUUUGUCUCCUCUCUUUUACCAAAAAAAAAUAUAGACCGAAUUAAAAAAAAAAAUCUGACCCCCAAAAUAGCAAGGGUUUAAUGCAUUCUUGUUCUUUUUUUUUUUCGUCAUUAGGCGCACCAAAGCAUCAUAAGAAAGAUAGAGACUAAUCAACAUAACAUAGACUUUUUCUUUUGUUAACGAGUAGAGACUACAUACCCAAAUUACAAGUUACAACACGGAAACCUCUCGUAAUAAUUGCGCUUGCCAAAAUUGACAUCGUAAUUAAGGUGAGUAUUGAUUUCAGAAGAGCUAAUUAACAAAGCAAAUCAAGAAAUGUGAUUUGGCAUGAUUUUUCUUUUUAUCUCCUGAGGGAGGCCCACGAGCUACAGGUUCACAUUCACACAUAGAAUUCAAUUCCUUUCCUUCACGUCAUAACUACAGAAUAAUACGAAAAUUCAAUCACUUCAAAGUUUGGUGAGACCAACACACAAUCUAAAGUCCGAAUUUAAUGGAUUUGGUUCAGUUUCUGGGUUUGAACUUGAAGAUCAACUACUAUAGUCUAUAAUACAAAACUUUUGUUUAUUUUUUUUUUCCAUUUCUUUGUACAUAUUGAUGAUGAAACUAACCACAAUAUUACAACCAUACAAGAAGAAGUAGAAGAGAGAGUCUGUGCAGAUGGUAAGAAGGGAGAUUACAGAUCACGUCUACACAUUGGACAAGAUCCGUGCCUCAGUAGCCAAUUGUCUAUGCAAGGCAAAUGAAACAUGUGAUGACAAUGUGGCAGGCUUCUUACGGUUUCACCAAGUUGAAAAUCCUGCAAAAAGAUACACACAAAACAAGAAGAUAGAGAAUCAAAACACUUUUUGUUCGGAAUUUGCGGUUUUAUUUGAGCUGAAAAUGAGCUAAAAACCUGGAGACAAACAGAACACGAGUCUUUGUUUCCACAAGCAUCUAAGUAGUUUGUGCCAGUGAUUUUGAUUUUAGGUAUUUUAUUAACCAAGUCUCCUGCUAAUCCUUUUGAGCCACCCGUAUCAAAGAUGCUCGAGAGCUCUUCGAAAGUUGUAUCCACAGCUCCCAUCUGAUCAGUAAGAAUAGAGAUGAGAAUAGGAUCAAGAAAGAGAGAGAGGGAUCUCAGUAUAACCAAUAAUAAUACAUAGCUGAUAAACUGUACCUGACUUUGAACCGCGCUUAGCAUUGCUGGACCUAUGCGUUCUCGCACAAGUCUUCCACUUAUAAGACUAGCAAUGACAUCAAUCUACACAAAUAAUCAAGAAUCAAAUUAGAAGUUCAAAUCCAAAAAAAGAAAAACAAAAAAAACAGAGCAGAAGGAGUAGCUUCAACGAAAAAGGCUAUAAGAUCUAAGCUCACCAAGUAGAGAAGGCAUCCAAAACGUGACUCAUUAGAUUUCCAGAGAACAAGAGAUGAUUCGAAGACUUCGAUAGAGAAAACAGCUCCUGAGAUGGCUCCAACCGCUGCUCCUCGGAUGAAGCCACUCUCUGUUUCUUGGCCUAUCAAAGCUCCAGUAAGUGCUCCAAGCAAUGUGCCCACUGAAGAAGCAAAAAGGAUACAACUUUCUUAGCUCUACAUGAAACCCCAAAGUUGCAGAUUCUAAUCUAAUCAUAGAAAACUUCUAUCAAAUUUCGGAUUUGCACUACACAGAGACUAGAUUGGGAGAGAAUCUCAAGAAUGUAGAUAAAGAAAAGGAGAGACAUUCAAGAACAGAAUCAAGAAACCAAGAGGCAGACCUAAUGCGAAGAAGAAGGUCAAGAUCGCCGAGAGAACUGUGCCAAGAACAGCAGAGACGAGGAAACGACAUGUGUCUUUUAUCUGGUCGAUGAAGUUCCCAAUAGAGGGACACGAAGAGAUAGGACAAACCCCAGAUUGGAAUAUAGAAGAUGCCAUUUUGUUUCCAGAACACUCCAAAGAUUAAAGUCUGGUAAAUAUAUAGAAAACCCGAAACGAUCUAAACGGUAAAAAAAAAAAAUAAAAAAAACUUAAACUUAAACAGAGCUCAGUGGAGCUUAUAGAAGAGAAGAGAGAUAAGAGGAGUUGAGACAGGGAAGGUAGAAGAAAGAAAGAGAAAGAGAU